GGGGCUGUAGCUCAGCCUGGGAGAGCGCACGGCUGAAGACCGUGGUGUCGCGUGUUCAAAUCACGCCAGCCCCA
RNAcentral lists this transfer RNA (74 nucleotides) under archaeon CG10_big_fil_rev_8_21_14_0_10_43_11. RNAcentral's name for it is "tRNA-Phe". It matches the Rfam family "tRNA". Rfam says of the family: Transfer RNA (tRNA) molecules are approximately 80 nucleotides in length. The record is from RNAcentral.